GACUCCAGUCACCUGCAUGUCUCCAACUGGGAGAAGGGAUUAUGUUCCAGUUUAGACAAAAAAGAUAACUUUAAAGAAGCCAAUUACUGUUUUUCCUAUCACUUGAAUGGGCCUUGUUGCAUCCAUUAUCAAGCAGUGAAAAACAGUACCUGUGGGACACAGACCCCUCGGCCAGGAGCGCAGUCUUAGGACAACCUGGUGGCAGAGCUGAUGAAGCAGGCGACUCACCCAUUGACUGACAGCCUUGAGAGGCUUGCACUCUUUCAAGUACUUGUGAACUUUGUUGGCUUUUUGCAAAAAGCUUGAAAAGUAAAGUGUGACAUUUAAAUUAGAAUAAAUGGAAGAACAC
This is a long non-coding RNA of Larimichthys crocea (large yellow croaker), 349 nucleotides long. RefSeq lists it as uncharacterized. The record is from RefSeq and is a predicted model, not a curated record. NCBI's taxonomy places the organism in Eukaryota, Metazoa, Chordata, Actinopteri, Sciaenidae. The transcript is spliced from 3 exons.